AGUGAACGCUGGCGGUAGGCCUAACACAUGCAAGUCGAACGGCAGCACAGUAAGAGCUUGCUCUUACGGGUGGCGAGUGGCGGGCGGGUGAGGAAUACAUCGGAAUCUACUUUUUCGUGGGGGAUAACGUAGGGAAACUUCCGCUAAUACCGCAUACGACCUACGGGUGAAAGCAGGGGAUCUUCGGACCUUUCGCGAUUGAAUGAGCCGAUGUCGGAUUAGCUAGUUGGCGGGGUAAAGGCCCACCAAGGCGACGAUCCGUAGCUGGUCUGAGAGGAUGAUCAGCCACACUGGAACUGAGACACGGUCCAGACUCCUACGGGAGGCAGCAGUGGGGAAUAUUCGACAAUGGGCGCAAGCCUGAUCCAGCAAUACCGCGUGGGUGAAGAAGGCCUUCGGGUUGUAAAGCCCUUUUGUUGGGAAAGAAAAGCAGCAGGUUAAUACCCCGCCGUUCUGACGGUACCCAAAGAAUAAGCACCGGCUAACUUCGUG
This 492-nucleotide ribosomal RNA is filed under the name uncultured bacterium. RNAcentral describes it as "partial 16S ribosomal RNA". It matches the Rfam family "Bacterial small subunit ribosomal RNA", at positions 29 to 507 of the family's 1533-position model. The record is from RNAcentral.